RNAcentral lists this ribosomal RNA (429 nucleotides) under Chloroflexota bacterium. RNAcentral describes it as "Chloroflexi bacterium partial 16S ribosomal RNA". It matches the Rfam family "Bacterial small subunit ribosomal RNA", at positions 355 to 776 of the family's 1533-position model. The record is from RNAcentral. Lineage: Bacteria; Bacillati; Chloroflexota.
UGGGGAAUAUUGCACAAUGGGCGCAAGCCUGAUGCAGCCAUGCCGCGUGUGUGAAGAAGGCCUUCGGGUUGUAAAGCACUUUCAGCGGGGAGGAAGGCGUUAAGGUUAAUAACCUUGGCGAUUGACGUUACCCGCAGAAGAAGCACCGGCUAACUGCGUGCCAGCAGCCGCGGUAAUACGGAGGGUGCAAGCGUUAAUCGGAAUUACUGGGCGUAAAGCGCACGCAGGCGGUUUGUUAAGUCGGAUGUGAAAUCCCCGGGCUCAACCUGGGAACUGCAUUCGAAACUGGCAGGCUAGAGUCUUGUAGAGGGGGGUAGAAUUCCAGGUGUAGCGGUGAAAUGCGUAGAGAUCUGGAGGAAUACCGGUGGCGAAGGCGGCCCCCUGGACAAAGACUGACGCUCAGGUGCGAAAGCGUGGGGAGCAAACAGG